This 499-nucleotide ribosomal RNA is filed under the name uncultured bacterium. RNAcentral describes it as "partial 16S ribosomal RNA". It matches the Rfam family "Bacterial small subunit ribosomal RNA", at positions 30 to 523 of the family's 1533-position model. The record is from RNAcentral.
AUUGAACGCUGGCGGCAUGCCUUACACAUGCAAGUCGAACGGCAGCACGGGAGCAAUCCUGGUGGCGAGUGGCGAACGGGUGAGUAAUAUAUCGGAACGUGCCCAGUCGUGGGGAUAACUACUCGAAAGAGUAGCUAAUACCGCAUACGAUCUACGGAUGAAAGCGGGGGAUCUUCGGACCUCGCGCGAUUGGAGCGGCCGAUAUCAGAUUAGGUAGUUGGUAGGGUAAAAGCCUACCAAGCCUGCGAUCUGUAGCUGGUCUGAGAGGACGACCAGCCACACUGGAACUGAGACACGGUCCAGACUCCUACGGGAGGAAGCAGUGGGGAAUUUUGGACAAUGGGCGCAAGCCUGAUCCAGCAAUGCCGCGUGCAGGACGAAGGCCUUCGGGUUGUAAACUGCUUUUGUACGGAGCGAAAAGGUCUCUACUAAUACUAGGGGCUCAUGACGGUACCGUAAGAAUAAGCACCGGCUAACUACGUGCCAGCAGCCGCUGUAA